GAUGAACGCUGGCGGCGUGCCUAAUACAUGCAAGUCGAGCGAACAGACGAGAGUGCUUGCACUCUCUGACGUUAGCGGCGGACGGGUGAGUAACACGUGGGUAACCUACCUAUAAGACUGGGAUAACUUCGGGAAACCGGAGCUAAUACCGGAUAAUAUUUAGCUUCGCAUGAAGCAAUAGUGAAAGACGGUUCUGCUGUCACUUAUAGAUGGACCCGCGGUGUAUUAGCUAGUUGGUGAGGUAACGGCUCACCAAGGCAACGAUGCAUAGCCGACCUGAGAGGGUGAUCGGCCACACUGGGACUGAGACACGGCCUAGACUCCUACGGGAGGCAGCAGUAGGGAAUCUUCCGCAAUGGACGAAAGUCUGACGGAGCAAUGCCGCGUGAGUGAAGAAGGUUUUCGGAUCGUAAAACUCUGUUGUAAGGGAAGAACAAUUACGUUAGUAACUGAACGUACCUUGACGGUACCUUACCAGAAAGCCACGGCUAACUACGUG
RNAcentral lists this ribosomal RNA (499 nucleotides) under uncultured bacterium. RNAcentral's name for it is "partial 16S ribosomal RNA". It matches the Rfam family "Bacterial small subunit ribosomal RNA", at positions 28 to 507 of the family's 1533-position model. The record is from RNAcentral.